This is a long non-coding RNA of Alnus glutinosa, 904 nucleotides long. RefSeq lists it as uncharacterized. Lineage: Eukaryota; Viridiplantae; Streptophyta; Magnoliopsida; Fagales; Betulaceae. The transcript has 2 exons. The record is from RefSeq and is a predicted model, not a curated record.
CAAACCCAACCCGCACAUUCGACAUUUUCCCCCCAAAAUUUUUCCCCAUUUCCGGUUGAUCUCCUCCUUUUCCGGCGCUCCGAUUUUUCCCCAUUUUCCGGCAGAUCUCCUUCCUUUUCCGGCGCCGACCGCGAAAUCUGCCCAUCUCCACCGCUGACCGAGCUCCCCCCUUUUCCGGUGCCGACCCGCGAUCUCUGCCCGUCUCCACCGCUGACCGAGCUCUCCACUUCCGGUGCCGACCGAUCUCAGCCCGUCUCCAAGAUCUCCACUUCCUUCUCCAAGAUCUCUGAAAUUAGGGACUUGUCAAAGACCCAGUGCCAGCUUCUAAAAUUAAGCACACAACAACUAAGACCCAGUGCCAGCUUCGCUUUCCUCCAUUUGCUCCCCAUUUUUCGCUUUCAGAUCUCAAACAAGCAAACCCAGAACAAGAAUCCACAAAACCGAACCCAGGUUUACUUCCAUUUGUACCAGCAGCUAGAGGGAGAAUAAUUGCAAGGAAGAAGAAGCUUACGGUUGCUUGGCUUGUUAAGCCCUUGAUGGAAUUCUUAUAUUUCAACCAAUUCUAGAUGUUGGCCAUUGUUGAUUACUGCUGGAGGCUGUUGACACCUCAAUUUAAGCUAAAUGCCUGAACCUAAUUCAAGUGCUAGAUUUUGCUACACUAAUGUUAGUCUAAUGGGUAAAGUGGAUUAGGUACUGUGAAAAAGCUUCUUAUGUGGUCAAGUAUAGCAGCGUUCUUUGUAUCACAAAAAAAUAUCAUGGCAUUGCUAUGGAAUCCAGCUAAAGACUUAUUAUUAGCUUAUUUUCUUCAUCUUUUUUAGAGUUUACUGUUUAUUUGGAAGGAUUCUGGAAUUGUUGAUUUUAUGUUAUUACAAAUAAAGACAAUUAUAGCAGGAUCAUUAUUAUA